This 1002-nucleotide long non-coding RNA is filed under the name Fragaria vesca (wild strawberry). RNAcentral describes it as "long non-coding RNA (FVES_LNC004692)". Lineage: Eukaryota; Viridiplantae; Streptophyta; Magnoliopsida; Rosales; Rosaceae. The record is from RNAcentral.
CAUUUCUUCUCAGACAACAAAAUAUAGAAUUUAUGUUGCCUGAUUUGUAAAAUGGAUAGCUAAAAAUUAAGGCUGAGAUGUAGCAGCGGGAAAUCUCCCGCUCCUGCAAGCUAAGGAUGUCAUUUCUUCUCAGACAACAAAAUAUACAAUUUACGUUGUCUGAUUUGUAAAAUGGAUAGGUAAAAAAUUGAGGCUGAGAUGUAGUAGCGGGAGAUUUCCUGCUCUUGUAAGUUAAGGGAUGUCAUUUCUUCUCAGACAACAAAAUAUAUAAUUUACGUCGUCUAAUUUGUAAAAUAGAUAGGUAAAAAAUUAAAGCCGAGACGUAGCAGCGGGAGAUCUCCCGCUCUUGCAACUUAAAGAUGUCAUUUCUCAUACAACCAAAAUUUGGAGUUAUGUUGUAUGAUAUGAGAAACACUUGAUAUGACUCAAAAACCUAAGGGAGUUGACACUUAGAAAAAAAAAACUGUAUCACUCAAAACUAUCGCGCGCGCACACACUUUCAACACACACUCACCGCUCUUUCUCUCUUCUCUCUUCUCUCUUCUCUCUUUCUCUCUCGAACAAAGCUAGAAACCGCGCACUCUCUCACUUUCUCUCUUCUCUCUUCCUCAAUCACUCCUCUCAAUCACUCCUCCCUCAAUCGAGAGUAAGCCACUGUCACUUGAUUAGGGUUCGUUGAUUUGGGGAGUUCGUCGAUUUGGGGGUUCGUCCAUUUGGCGCGUCACUCGAUUUCUUCCAAUGUGGUUCAAGGUUUGUACUCUUCUCCUUUCUCCGAUUAGGUUUCUGGGUUGGUAUUAUUAGUUGAGCUGCUAAGCCUCUAGUCCCAGUUGCUCUCUCUUUCUCUAAUCAAGUUUAUAAGUAGGAACCGAUGCGACUGUUUAGUAGUAACCACACUUCAUUCACACCGGUUUUGUCUUUUCUUGAAUCCCCCAACUUGGUCUUUCUCUCUCAUUGUUCAUAGCUUUCUCUUCUUCCAGUUGAGGCUUCUCUGUUCUUGUCUUG